GUUCCCGCGAGGGAGGGUCUGGAGGAAGCCAACGGCAAAGCUGCGAGCCGACGGACAGAAACAUCAUAGAAGGCCGAGAUUCCUGGGGCGAGUCUGCCACACAAGACAAAGCCCACUGGUUCAGGGAACGCGGUAAAUGGUGCGGUUGCAGCGACAGCCUUCGAC
Molecule: non-coding RNA, 165 nt
Organism: Halomicronema hongdechloris C2206
Lineage: Bacteria; Bacillati; Cyanobacteriota; Cyanophyceae; Nodosilineales; Nodosilineaceae
Source: Rfam